CGCAAUCACCUGAUGCGGAAGUCGAAAGCGGCUGACGCGCGCUGAUCGUAACGUUUGUUAAAGCAUUUCUAAUAUCGCACCUUAUCAGAGGGUCUAUAGGUAGAAUUGGGAGGUUCAAGAAGUACACUGCAUGAGUGAUCAGUUUCACCCAAGACCAUCUCUCAAAAGUUUCCAUUUUUAGAGCUAUGUGUCCCUGGAAGCUAUUGGCUAGUGCAGCACCCCAAAAAACCCCAUCUCCAGCGACCUGCUCUGCUUAAAGAUGAUAUCAUUGAUUUACCUCCCAUCAACCAGCCAAGGAGGAUUGUAUUCCCUUCCACCAUGACCACAUGGAAGGCCACUGAUAAAGAAGAUAUAUUAGCUGAGAGAGCUCUGAGGCUGAGAGCUGGAUCCAUCAUGGAGGGCCAUCUAGCGGCUAGACUAGAUCCAAUAUCUGAGCUUUAUAGAACAUUGCCUUAUUUCUCUCCAGAAAGAGUCAUCCAUCGCUCACGUCGGUGGUCCGUCACUCCCUGUAUCCUCCCAAAGCCCUCAGCUUUCUCUUCUUGUUCAAACGGUCCUCUCCAGUCUCCAGUCAGUGGGAGAAACCAUCCCUUUACUCUGUGUCGACAUUAGGAUGGGAAGAGGAAAAGCUGACAAAUGGAUACAGUUUAGCUGAGAAACCUUUCAAAGGUACAUUUGAUUCCUGUCCUCAUUUAAUAUUAAAUGUACAGGCCCAGAGUUACUGUAUUUGAAGGGCUGCUAUAAGAAAGAGGAUGCAUACAGUAAAUUGUUAUUAUAGCUUGGGGUGUAUUACUAUUUCACCAGUAGGUGGCAAUAUGCAUUUGACAGUACAAUGUACAGUCAGUGCCAAUAGAAAGUACACCCCCUUGAACUUGGGGGAUUGAAAUAGAUUUAAUUGUACUUUUUUUUUUUACAUUGAUCUACACAAAAUACUCUGUCAAAGUGAAAAUAUAUAUGUAUGUGUAUAUAUAUUUACAAAUGAAUAACAAUUAAAUAACUAAAAUAUAGUCGUUACGUAAGUAUUUGCCCCAUUUGUUUUGGUAGGCCUAAAUUAGUUCAGAAGUAAAUUUGGCUUAACAAAUCACAUAAUACGUUAUAUGGACUCACCAGGUAGGUGCCUGGUUAGGACGCCAGGUGGUGCCCUUAGAGGGAGGGGGGGCUGUCACACCAUGAUCUUUUUCACCUGUCUUGCACUUGUCUCCACCCCCUACCAAGUGUCUCCUAUUCUUCUCCAUUAUCCCCUGUGUAUUUAUACCUGCGUUUUCUGUUUGUCUCUUGCCAGUUCGUCUUGUUUUGUCAGGUCUUAUCAGUGUCUUUUCUGUUUUUCAAGUUCUUGUUUUCUAGUCUUCCGACCUUUCUGCCUGUCCUGAUCCUGAGCCUGCCUGCCGUUCUGUCCAUGAUUGACUCUGCCUUGGAUUACGAACCUCUACCUGCCCUUUUCCUGCCCCUUUGAUUUAAUACAUAUUAUGAGAACCAAA
Salmo salar (Atlantic salmon) is the source of this 1475-nucleotide non-coding RNA. The record is from RefSeq and is a predicted model, not a curated record. Lineage: Eukaryota; Metazoa; Chordata; Actinopteri; Salmoniformes; Salmonidae.